CGAACGGUAACAGGUCUUCGGAUGCUGACGAGUGGCGAACGGGUGAGUAAUACAUCGGAACGUGCCCAGUAAUGGGGGAUAGCUCGGCGAAAGCCGGAUUAAUACCGCAUACGCCCUGAGGGGGAAAGUGGGGGACCGCAAGGCCUCACGUUAUUGGAGCGGCCGAUGGCUGAUUAGCUAGUUGGUAGGGUAAAGGCCUACCAAGGCGACGAUCAGUAGCUGGUCUGAGAGGACGAUCAGCCACACUGGGACUGAGACACGGCCCAGACUCCUACGGGAGGCAGCAGUGGGGAAUUUUGGACAAUGGGGGAAACCCUGAUCCAGCAAUGCCGCGUGUGCGAAGAAGGCCUUCGGGUUGUAAAGCACUUUUGUCAGGGAAGAAAUCCUUUGGGCUAAUACCCUAGGGGGAUGACGGUACCUGAAGAAUAAGCACCGGCUAACUACGUGCCAGCAGCCGCGGUAAUACGUAGGGUGCAAGCGUUAAUCGGAAUUACUGGGCGUAAAGCGUGCGCAGGCGGUUGUGUAAGACAGGUGUGAAAUCCCCGGGCUUAACCUGGGAAUUGCAUUUGUGACUGCACGACUAGAGUGUGUCAGAGGGGGGUGGAAUUCCACGUGUAGCAGUGAAAUGCGUAGAUAUGUGGAGGACACCAAUGGCGAAGGCAGCCCCUGGGAUAACACUGACGCUCAUGCACGA
RNAcentral lists this ribosomal RNA (694 nucleotides) under uncultured beta proteobacterium. RNAcentral's name for it is "bacterial SSU rRNA". It matches the Rfam family "Bacterial small subunit ribosomal RNA", at positions 63 to 756 of the family's 1533-position model. The record is from RNAcentral. Lineage: Bacteria; Pseudomonadati; Pseudomonadota; Betaproteobacteria.